GACGGGGGGGGCAAGUGUUCUUCGGAAUGACUGGGCGUCAAGGGCACGUAGGCGGUGAAUCGGGUUGAAAGUGAAAGUCGCCAAAAAGUGGCGGAAUGCUCUCGAAACCAAUUCACUUGAGUGGGACAGAGGAGAGUGGAACUGCGAGUGUAGAGGUGAAAUUCGUAGAUAUUCGCAAGAACACCAGUGGCGAAGGCGGCUCACUGGCCCGGUACUGACGCUGAGGCACGAAAGCGUGGGGAGCAAACAGG
RNAcentral lists this ribosomal RNA (251 nucleotides) under uncultured bacterium. RNAcentral's name for it is "partial 16S ribosomal RNA". It matches the Rfam family "Bacterial small subunit ribosomal RNA", at positions 524 to 776 of the family's 1533-position model. The record is from RNAcentral.